CUUGACCUCAAAUCGGGUGAGACUACCCGCUGAACUUAAGCAUAUCAAUAAGCGGAGGAAAAGAAACUAACAAGGAUUCCCCUAGUAACUGCGAAGGGAANCGGGAAAAAGCUCAAAUUUAAAAUCUGGGGGUUUUUGGCCNUCCGAUUGUAAUUUAA
RNAcentral lists this ribosomal RNA (158 nucleotides) under uncultured Russulaceae. RNAcentral's name for it is "partial 28S ribosomal RNA". It matches the Rfam family "Eukaryotic large subunit ribosomal RNA", at positions 1 to 153 of the family's 3401-position model. The record is from RNAcentral. Lineage: Eukaryota; Fungi; Basidiomycota; Agaricomycetes; Russulales; Russulaceae.